UCCAGUUUUUCUACUUAAAUCGCUAUUGUGAGUAGGAUUAUUUCUUCCGCAUCUCAUCCAACGACUCUUUUGCUAAUUCCAAAACGUCAUUUUAAAGCUGGCAAUGGAGGCUUCAGCCGUUGAUAGCAGACUAAUGCAGUUAAUAAUGAAGUUAUUAGAAAGAGAGCGAGAGACACAGAGAAAGAGAAACAGAGAGAGAUCUUGUAUGAAUUAGGCUACCUUUGUGUGUCCCUCAGCAGUGUUCUGAAGCACCGUCUCUAAACUGGUAGAGAUGAAAGGAGCAGGUACAUCAAGGGCAGCCCGGGUCCUGAUGGACUUUCUAGAGCAUCUGCAUUCGCCACGUAGCAGCCCGUCUGUUUGUUUAUUUGGUUUGAUACCGCUGCAGGACUCUGAGCAUAACCCACCCAGCCUGCAAACCCCCCCUGAUUCAGAGAGGGGCUUCCAGCAGCCUGGACCAGCCUCUGCUGCAGCAUUUCAUCAUGUGCCAGCAUUAGGGUCCCUUCCGGCAGCUUCUCUCUGCCUGCAUGCACUGUACUGUAAAGCCUGCAGCUGAGUUCCUCCUCAGUCAGCACCUCUACUGCGGCCAUUAGGAGCAGCAUGGACCAUGGCAGCUGUAUGGAAGUGUACCCAAAGAGCGCAGGAAACCUGGAGACAGAGUGGAGGGUUGACAGAAGAAGAAUGAGGGUGCUGAGGCCAGACCCCAGCAGGGAAGCUCUGCUACCCACUUCCAGCAAUCCCUCACAGGGGUUGGACAGGAUCAGGUCCAGAAGAAACAUCAGGCAAGCUCAGGAGAUACAGGCCAUCGUCUAUGGCUGCAGCCUACACAUAAUCCUUCUUCAGAGCUGUAGAACUGUUCAUUAAUGACCAUUUCCCUACUUCCUCUGAGUCUGCUUGUCUGUCAUGUUCUCCAUAUUGACUGAAGCUCCUCCCACACUGGGAGAUGUGAUAGUGCCUCUUGCCUGUAUGAGUUCGUUGGUGUCGCAUCUGUUCUGAUGAUUGACCAAACGUCUUCCUUCACACUAACCCAUGGUGUGGCGUCACGCAUGUAUGAAUCCACUGGUACGUCUUUAGGACUCUUAUUUCACUGAAUCUCUUCCCACAGUGGGACUUUGUUGAUGUGUCUUUAACUUAAUUAAUUGGCAAAAACUCUGCCUUUGUACACUGGGAGCACUGGCAAUUCCUCUCCCCUGUGUGAAUUCGCUGGUGGAUCCUUAGGGCUCCUACUUGAUUAAAGGUCUUCCCACACUGGGAACACUGGUAGGGCCUCUCCCCUGUGUGAAUCCGAUGGUGGAUCCUUAGGGCUCCUACUUAACUAAAGGUAUUCCCACACUGGGAACACUGGUAGGGCCUCUCCCCUGUGUGAAUCCGAUGGUGGAUCCUUAGGGCUCCUACUUGACUGAAGUUCUUCUUACAGUAGGAACAUUGGUAAGUCCGUUUUUCUAAAACACUGAAGCCCACUGGGAGGACUGGUAGGGUCUCUCUCCUGUGAGUUUAUGCCGUUAGUUGGCCUUACUGACUCUUACCACAUUCUGAAGGCUUUUCGCUUGUGUGAACUCAUCAGAUUUAAUUUCCCCCAGCAAAUUUAAUCUGCCUGCUUUUCAAACUGUUGAGGGUCCUGAAAAUUCUUGGGCCAGUACCAAGUAUCAGCAUCGGGAUACCAAUCUUAGCAUUAUUUACUACCGGAUUAAAAGGGAAGUGAGUGAUAUUGCCCGUCCUUAAUACUCACCAUACACCAAUCAUGGAUGGAUGCAUUUAUUCUCGCUCGUUUUACCGCUGCCCUUUUAAGGAUCAUGCAAUAAAAGAGUCUUAAAAACA
Long non-coding RNA from Brienomyrus brachyistius, 1815 nucleotides. RefSeq lists it as uncharacterized. The transcript is spliced from 3 exons. The record is from RefSeq and is a predicted model, not a curated record. Lineage: Eukaryota; Metazoa; Chordata; Actinopteri; Osteoglossiformes; Mormyridae.